UUGAUCCUGGCUCAGAAUCAACGCUGGCGGCGUGCCUAACACAUGCAAGUCGAACGCGAAAGUGGAGCAAUCCAUGAGUAGAGUGGCGAACGGGUGAGUUACACGUGGGUGACCUACCUUCGAAUGGGGGAUAACGUCCCGAAAGGGACUCUAAUACCGCAUAACAUCCUGUCCUUGAACGGAUGGAGAUCAAAGCCGGUGAUCGCAAGACCUGGCGUUUGAAGAGGGGCCCGCGUCCGAUUAGCUAGUUGGUGAGGUAAUGGCUCACCAAGGCGACGAUCGGUAACCGGCCUGAGAGGUCGGACGGUCACACUGGGACUGAGACACGGCCCAGACUCCUACGGGAGGCUGCAGUGGGGAAUUGUUCACAAUGGGCGCAAGCCUGAUGACGCAACGCCGUGUGGAGGAUGAAGGUCUUCGGGUUGUAAACUCCUGUUGCUCGGGACGAAUAGCUUUGACCUAACACGUCAAAGUCUGACGGUACCGAGUGAGGAAGCCCUGGCUAACUCUGUGCCAGCAGCCGCGGUAAUAAGGU
This 535-nucleotide ribosomal RNA is filed under the name uncultured Acidobacteriota bacterium. Its description in RNAcentral is "bacterial SSU rRNA". It matches the Rfam family "Bacterial small subunit ribosomal RNA", at positions 13 to 529 of the family's 1533-position model. Lineage: Bacteria; Pseudomonadati; Acidobacteriota. The record is from RNAcentral.